UCUACUUGAGGGGCAUGCAUUACUCGUAACUGAUAUAGAUGUUCACACUGCCUUUUUAGACUCUGUUUUCAUGUUUUUCCAUGUCAUUGCCGCUCUGUAGGGUGAAACUGGGCUCAGAGGCAGAAAAGGAGAGGUCUACAGGCUGCUCGUUAUGGCGCACACCUGUCACCAUCGUUACGCGCACCUGCACGUCGUCAGACUCACCUGGACAUCACUUCGUUGAUUACCUGCCCUAUAUAUGUCCCUCCCUUUGGCUCCCCUGCCUCAGCCGGCUCGACAGGCUCCCCUGCCUCAGCCGGCUUGUCGGGCUUUCAUGCCUUUGCCAGAUCCCCUGCGUCCACUGACUCGUCAGGCUCUCAUACCUCAACCGGAUCGCCAGGCUCCCCUGCCUCAGCCGGUCUGGCAGGUUCCCUCGUCCCAGCCGGCGACAGGUUCCUGCGCAUCAGCGGGGGUGACCGGUCCGCCCCUGAUCCCCAGGAUCGUCCCUUGGGUUGGCAUCCUGCGGCUGGUGCCAAACACGCCCGGGAGGGGGUACCGUCAGUUAUGCUCUCUCUCCGGCACUCUAGGUCGCCAUGCUCCUGCGUCUCAGCCGGAUAGAGUUUCCUGUGCCUCUGCAGAGGUGUCCGGUCCGCUCCUGUUCACCGGGAUAGUCACUUUGGGUGGCGUUCUGCAGCUGGAGCCGCGCGUCGGGAAGGGGAUACUGUCAUGUGUGCUCCCUCUCCGACCUCGUUACGCGCAUCGUCAGACUCACCUGGACUCCAUCACUUCGUUGAUUACCUGCCC
Oncorhynchus mykiss (rainbow trout) is the source of this 783-nucleotide non-coding RNA. Lineage: Eukaryota; Metazoa; Chordata; Actinopteri; Salmoniformes; Salmonidae. The record is from RefSeq and is a predicted model, not a curated record.